Xyrichtys novacula (pearly razorfish) is the source of this 5489-nucleotide non-coding RNA. The record is from the annotation of a GenBank genome assembly. NCBI's taxonomy places the organism in Eukaryota, Metazoa, Chordata, Actinopteri, Labriformes, Labridae.
UAGAUUUCGCGUCAUUCUGUAGCCUUAUGACGUUAAAACUGGUUCAGUUUCGUAAAAAUGAGACAACAAAGGCAUGGCACACAAAAACAGAAUCAAGUAAGUAAAAGUAUCAAAAGUGCAUAUUUAAAAAACACUACUUUACGGCAAAAUGCACAAAAAUUUUAGAUAUACGUUUUUUGAAAUUAUUAUUUUAAUAGGAGAUUGGUCCUUUAAGCAAAUAACAUACAGAUAUCAAAUAUUCCAGUUCCUUUAAAGGGAUAUUCCGGCGUACAACAAAGACGUUUAGCAAACUGUUAAAGCACACAAACCAUCGUCAUAUCAGAAAUCUGACGCUAUGACUCUCCACAAGUUGUCCUUCAGAUUGUUUGCUUUGUAAUGUUUGUGUAAAUGAUCAUAAACAAUCAGCCGGUCGGCCAUGUUGAAUUUACCCGUGAAUCUGACGUUGCAACAACACUCAAUCUGAUUGGUCAGAAGUGGACACACAGUAUGCAAAACUGUAGAAAAAUCGACCGUGAUCCGAAAAAAUGAAUGUUGCAGUAUCGCAGGAAAGGAAAAAGUCGCUGAUGUGAACGCUUGUAUUGAAAGGAUACGGGUUCGAAAAAAAUAUUGACGUACGAAAUGAUGGCACGAACAAAACAGUCCCAGUGUGAAAGGACCUUUAGACACCCCCUCGAAAGAUGAAUGUUGCCGACCCCUUGCUUCCUAGUGAUACCAACUUUAGUAACGACGGCACGAUUGCAAUACACAGCGGUCUAUGGAACCACUUACAAACCUCAACCAAAACGCCACUCUAUAGCCACAAAUAAUGCUCAGAACAGCACCUAACUUCAUCAACAGUACACAUAGGGUCCCAGCCAUAGUAUUAGCCAUCAAACAUCUUUUUUAGCUUUGCCUAAUUUCUUUAGCAAAGAGACUAAACACAAGUCACCUACUCUCUUCCAGCAGCCGCUUGUUUGUAGCAAGACCUGUUCUGUGCUGUUCUGAGCAUUAUUUGUGGCUAUAGAGUGGCAUUUUGAUUAAGGUUUGUAAGUGGUUCCAUAGUCCGCUGUGUAUUGCUAUCAUGCGGUCGUUACUGAAGUUGGUAUGACUAAAGAAGCAAGCGGUCGGCAACAUUCAUCUCUCGAGGGGGCUGUCUAACUCGAUGUUAUAGUGUGUUUGACCCUAAAUUGAUUUUACACUGGAAUAUCCCUUUAAUUUCUUCGAUAUCAUAUUGUUUUUUUCAAUUGAUCCUUAGUUAUUAAAUCUACCAGUUCCUUUAAGUUGCUGCAUCAAGGUUUUUACUAAUUAUUAGAACAAAACCUCAAAAUAACCUGGAGCCAUGCAGGACAACUUUUUAAAGCUUACUGAGUUUUUAAAGCUCCUGUUAGGAUCUUUUUUAUUUACGUCAAUGAAUCAGACUAAAAUUCAUAUUGAUGCUUUUCUUAAGAUAUACAAAGGCAAACAGGACCAUUGGUGUCACGAUGCAUUUUAUAGUUAUAAUAAUAACUUUAUUUGUAUAGCACUUUUAAAACAGAGGUUUACAAAGUGCUUUGACAUAUAGUCAUAGAGCACAUCAAAAAAGACAGAUAAAAACAAAAAGCUCAGUUAAAAUGGAAUUGAAGGCCAUUUUCACGUCAUACAUUACAAGAACCAUGUAACAUAAAAUGAGACCAUGAGGACCAAAAUGGAAACAUAAAAUAGUUAAGAAAAACGUAAAUGCCAUUAAAAGGGAGGUCGAAAGUGGAAACAGGAUAGUCAAAAUAAAAGGCAUUAUCAACAGUGAUUAUAGAAUAACAACAGGUAAUACUGUUAAUUAUAGUAAUGAUAAAAUAGAGCAACAGAAAUGAGCAAGAGAUAAAACAAUAAAAGGCCUAAAAGGUUAAUUAAGAAAAAAGUACAAGUAAAACAAAAGCUAAAAAGACGGUAAAAAUAAUGUAGUUUUAAAAGCCUAAAACUGGUGUGAGGGGGUAGGUGUUAGCCUAGACGCCAAAGACAGCCUCGUUUUUACAUCAUCUUCAUAAAAUAUUCACAAUGAACCCUACAUUUGACCAUGAAAACAGAGCAGGAUAAGAUGUUUGUCGAUGGUUUCACCACCAAUGGUUUUCUCAAUGGUUUUCCCAAUUUACACAAUGUCUUACUGCUUUGUGGCUUCUUAUUCUUAGUUCAUGCGAUUUUACUGACUGCUUUUAUCUCUUAAAACUGCUAUGUGUCAUUCAGUCAUAGCUUGUUUUUCUGUUUGGUUAUGGUGUGUUUUUUGCAGGGGUCCCUUAGAUUUUUUUCCUUUAUGUCAAAGCACUUUGUAAACAUUUGUGUUUAAAGAUGCUUUAGGGAUCCCAUCCCAUCGUCAUCCGCUUGAGUGAAACAAUUUGCAGCAUUUAACCAAGUUAUAGAGGGGAGGAGAAACGUCUUUUAACAGACAGAAACCUCGAGCAGAAUUAGACUCAUAUUAGACAGUCAUCUGCCACUACUGCACUGGGUUUAGAGAGGGGAUAUUAUAGUCCUAGCCUGGCUGGGCCAUCCUGUUGUGUGAAUCACUUGCCGUUCCUUCCCACAACAGGAAACAGCAAGUGAUUCACGCAACUGGAUGGCCCAGCCAGGCUUUUAUAGUCCAACUAUAAUACAGAAGUAAGAAUAUAUAAGAGUUAUGAAAGGGAUAUUUUGGCGUAAAAUUAAUUCAGUGUCAAACACAGCGUAACACUGAGGUAGACCCUUUUUUUUAACUUUGCCUUAUUUCUUUAGCAAAGAGACUAAACACAACUCACCUACCCUCUUCCAGCAGCCGCUUGUUUGUAGCGAGACCUCGGGCUAGUCCAUUAAGGACUGCUGCGGGGUGACGCAGCUCAAGGAAGAACAUUUAUGAUAAUUUCCUUAUCAUUUCCCUGAAGUAAUAAUCACCAUAUUAAUCAUUUUGCACUGCAGACAUGGUAGUUCUUCUGCCUUAGCGUCUCGGUCUGAUUGCAUUUCCAUGAAGAAAUGAUCAUAAAUGUUCUUCCUUGAGCUGCAUCACCCCGCUGCAGUCUGUAGUGAUCUGGACUGAAGUCUCACUACAAACAAGCCUCUGCUGGAAGAGAGUAGGUGAGUUGUGUUUGGUCUCUUUGCUAAAGAAAUCAGUCAAAGUUAAAAAGAUGUUUGGUGACUAGUACUAUGGCUAGGACCCUAUAUGUCCUGUUGAUGAAGUUAGGUGCUGUUCUGAGCAUUAUUUGUGGCUAUAGAGUGGCGUUUUGGUUGAGCUUUGUUUCUGGCUUCUCAGACGGCUGUGUAUUGCUAUCCUGCGGUUGUUACUAAAGUUAGUUUAUCUAGAGAAGCAAGCGGUCGACAACAUUCAUCUUUCGAGGGGGUGUCUAACUCGAUGUUACAGUGUGUUUGACCCUAAAUUAAUUUUACACCGGAAUGUCCCUUUAAGCUUAAGGACAGGACAAGUCAAUCUAUAUGCGAACUGUUUAAUACGGCUAACAGUGGGUAUUAGAAGAUGAGGAUGAGGACUUAUAUUGAUUUGGAGGUGUGGACUGCUGGUUUGACAUACAGUAUUGAAAAGAUUAAACAUUUGUAGUGGUGAUUGUCAACCUGGAGAUGGCGCCAGAGAUCUAGAGGAAAGGGGGGGACAACAGAAACUGAGUGCGGUGAAAACACAUAUGAGAGAAAGUUUCUACACUAAAGUGUGGUUAUUACGUUCUCCAAUUAUACAUUGUGCAGUUUUUGGCCUGACUUUGAGAACUUCAUGCAGGCUUGUGCGCUGGUCCAAUUCAUAUUGUUUCAUACAUAAAUUAUCAUGUACCGUUAAGACAAUGAUUAACUUUGUACAAAUUAGGAAGCCCCGCUUUCGCAGGGCAUCAAAAAAUUGAGAUAUACUCUUGUUGUUCCUCUCCACGGAAAUCUUUAGUAAAAGGCGAAAGAUUUAUACGAUCUGAAGAGAAACAAGAGUGAACUGUCAAUAAUGAGGUUCUCACACGGACCCCAUCGGCGCACAUAUAUGUUUCAAUUGCGGUUCUUUUUACGUUCACUUACGCAAACAUCUUAAAUAGUUCGUACAAAAACUACAAAAACCAUAAAACACUAACACAAAAUUGUGUCCUGAGAAGCAAACGUUAACUUUGCGUUAGACAGACGUUUGCGUACGCGCGCAAGGCAUGAUGGGACGUCGUUCUUCUUGUUUCCGGCGGGUCCGGAGUUAUGAAGUCAUUGUUGUUUGGCGCUACGAAAUACAAAGGUUUCCGUUAUGUUUCCUGUUGUUAUUUGAGAGUUGUCCUAAAACACUACGAAAGUGUGAGGACUGCGGAGUUGGACGGGUAAUUUUCCAAUGAGAGUAUAAUUUUCGGUCUCAACGUCCGAGUCACCAUCUUCCUGUCACAGCCUGGGUGUUUUUUCUACAGGGUUUAACAGUUAACACGAAAUUACUUGCUUUCUUUUGUGAAAAAAGUGAUUAAGAGUUUUAUAAAAGUCGUUUUUAUUUUAAUGUUUAAACUAUAAACACAUAACUGAGUGUAAAACACGUAGAACGGAUCCUAUAAUUUGAUUCAACAUAGGUGAGAGUGAGGUAAGUUGAGCCAAAGGGUAAGUUGAGCCACCCCCUGUUGCUUGGAAAUGGUCAAAGAAAUUGAUCAUGUGACCAAAUAUUUAGGAGAUGGGCAUCAAUUCAUGGAGUCUGUGAAGGUUAGAAGCACAUGGGUGAAGAGGUUAGACAUUUGUUUGCAAAAAAACCAACAUUUUUCUCUCUUGAAAGUAAAUUUAGUCUGUCACAAGUUUGAUUAGAAUUGUGUUCAGACCAAAAAAAGAUAAUUUUAAAUUUGUUUUAUACAUCAAUUGUGUUAUCCAUGACCUUUUACAAAACAGCUUUUUAGCAGUUUUAUGCAAUAAUAAUAAUAAUCAAAAGAAUUAUUGUACCAGUUGAAUAGUGUAUAAUAGAUAAAAAUAUACACGAAUGUGAAGAAGUUACUGUUAUUUAGGGAGAGAGAAGGUGAGGGAGGGCUGGGGUGGAGAGUGGAGGGGUGGUAGGGAUACGACUCAAUUUACCCCACUACUAUGGUCAACUUACCCCAUACCCCAGACCACUUUUUUUUGGCAUGCUAUAUUAUCAAGACAGUUAUGUUUACACUCAUUCUGUUAGUUUGCAGGGAUGAACAACAUCUUGAAAUAUCUGCAGAUACACUAGUUAGAGACAAAACUAUGAUCUUACCCCACUCUCCCCUACUCUGGAUUAAUCACACAAAAAGUAAAAUCCUCAAAUUAUCCCAUGAUCUCCGAAGAUAUAAAGAAACUCAUUAUGUGAAACAUACUCAUCAUUUUAAUGAGUUUCUUGAGGAGAGAUUUACAUUUAAUCUUGAUGAAUGAUUCUUUUUCACCUGUGUAAUGAUUAACAUUUUGUGUUCGUACUUCAUUUAGAUCCAGAUCCAUAAUUAUAGACUUCUUUAGUAAUAAGGUCUGAUUUAGAAUGCAUUUACAUCACUAGAGAAAUUACUCAACACUUGCACAAGAUUAUAAUCAUGUCUGACCCCUUGAAGGAAUCGUAUCCC